GUGAGAAUGUUGGCAUGAGUAGCGAGAUGUGGGUGAGAAUCCCACAGGCCGUAAACCCAAGGUUUCCAGGGGAAGGUUCGUCCGCCCUGGGUUAGUCGGGACCUAAGCUGAGGCCGAAAGGCGUAGGUGAUGGACAACAGGUUGAUAUUCCUGUACUACCGAUAACCGUUUGAGAGAAGGGAUGACACAGUAGGAUAAGCUAAGCACACUGUUGGUUAUGUGUGCCCAAGCAUUGAGGCAGUCAAAGUAGGCAAAUCCGCUUUGAUAAUGCUGGGAUGUGAUGGGGAGCGAAAUUUAGUAGCGAA
Molecule: ribosomal RNA, 305 nt
Filed under: Clostridioides difficile
Lineage: Bacteria; Bacillati; Bacillota; Clostridia; Peptostreptococcales; Peptostreptococcaceae
Description: bacterial LSU rRNA
Rfam family: Bacterial large subunit ribosomal RNA
Source: RNAcentral